RNAcentral lists this ribosomal RNA (478 nucleotides) under uncultured bacterium. Its description in RNAcentral is "partial 16S ribosomal RNA". It matches the Rfam family "Bacterial small subunit ribosomal RNA", at positions 28 to 523 of the family's 1533-position model. The record is from RNAcentral.
GACGAACGCUGGCGGCGUGCUUAACACAUGCAAGUCGAACGGUAAGGCCCUUCGGGGUACACGAGUGGCGAACGGGUGUGUAACACGUGGGUGAUCUGCCCUGCACUUCGGGAUAAGCCUGGGAAACUGGGUCUAAUACCGGAUAGGACUCCGGACUGCAUGGUCUGGGGUGGAAAGCUUUUGCGGGGUGGGAUGGGCCCGCGGCCUAUCAGCUUGUUGGUGGGGUGAUGGCCUACCAAGGCGACGACGGGUAGCCGGCCUGCGAGGGUAACCGGCCGCACUGGGCCUGAGAUACGGCACAGACUGCUACGGGAGGCAGCAGUGGGGAGUGUUGAACAAUGGGCGCAAGCCUGAUGCAGCGACGCCGCGUGAGGGACGACGGCCUUCGGGUUGUAAACCUCUUUCAGCAUCGACGAAGCGAAAGUGACGGUAGGUGCAGAAGAAGGACCGGCCAACUACGUGCCAGCCGCCGCAGUAA